Molecule: ribosomal RNA, 578 nt
Filed under: uncultured bacterium
Lineage: Bacteria
Description: partial 16S ribosomal RNA
Rfam family: Bacterial small subunit ribosomal RNA
Source: RNAcentral
UGGGGAAUUUUGGACAAUGGGCGCAAGCCUGAUCCAGCCAUGCCGCGUGCGGGAAGAAGGCCUUCGGGUUGUAAACCGCUUUUGUCAGGGAAGAAAUCUUCUGAGUUAAUACCUCGGGAGGAUGACGGUACCUGAAGAAUAAGCACCGGCUAACUACGUGCCAGCAGCCGCGGUAAUACGUAGGGUGCAAGCGUUAAUCGGAAUUACUGGGCGUAAAGCGUGCGCAGGCGGUUUUGUAAGACAGAGGUGAAAUCCCCGGGCUCAACCUGGGAACUGCCUUUGUGACUGCAAGGCUUGAGUGCGGCAGAGGGGGGAUGGAAUUCCGCGUGUAGCAGUGAAAUGCGUAGAUAUGCGGAGGAACACCGAUGGCGAAGGCAAUCCCCUGGGCCUGCACUGACGCUCAUGCACGAAAGCGUGGGGAGCAAACAGGAUUAGAUACCCUGGUAGUCCACGCCCUAAACGAUGUCAACUGGUUGUUGGGAAGGUUCCUUCUCAGUAACGUAGCUAACGCGUGAAGUUGACCGCCUGGGGAGUACGGCCGCAAGGUUGAAACUUAAAUGAAUUGACGGGGUCAUAGC